Molecule: small nuclear RNA, 98 nt
Organism: Mesocricetus auratus (golden hamster)
Lineage: Eukaryota; Metazoa; Chordata; Mammalia; Rodentia; Cricetidae
Source: Ensembl
GUGCUCGAUUUGGCAGCACAUAUACUAAAAUUGGAAGAUAGAGACAAUUAGCAUGGCCCCUAAGGAUGACACAAAUUCAUGAAAUAUUCCAUGUUUAA